Microcebus murinus (gray mouse lemur) is the source of this 2292-nucleotide non-coding RNA. The record is from RefSeq and is a predicted model, not a curated record. NCBI's taxonomy places the organism in Eukaryota, Metazoa, Chordata, Mammalia, Primates, Cheirogaleidae.
AUGAGGCUCCAGAGUGCGUUGGGGACAGGGCAGGGCCUGGAGGGACAGCAGGACUCGCUGUUCUGGGCAAGGGCUCACUUGCGUCCUUUCUGGCCUGCAGUCUCCGUGAGCAUCAACAACCUGUACCCGGGCUGCGAGAACGUGAGCGUGAGGAGCCGCAGCAUGAUGUUCGAGCCGGGCCUCACCAAAGGGAUGCUGGAGGUGUUCAUGGCCCCGUCCCACCACCCGCACUGCUCGGCCGAUGACCAGUCCACCAAGGCCAUCGACAUCCAGAACGCCUAUUUGAACGGAGUUGGCGAUUUCAGCGUGUGGGAGUUCUCUGGAAAUCCUGUGUACUUCUGCUGUUAUGACUAUUUCGCUGCAAAUGAUCCCACGUCAAUCCAUGUCAUUGUUUUUAGUCUAGAAGAGCCCUAUGAGAUCCAGCUGAACCAAGUGAUUUUCUGGCUCAGUUUCCUGAAGUCCCUCGUCCCAGUCGAAGAACCCAUAGCCUUUGGUGGGAAGCUGAAGAACCCACUCCGAGUUGUCCUGGUGGCUACCCAUGCUGACAUCAUGAACGUUCCUCGCCCAGCUGGAGGCGAGUUUGGAUAUGACAAAGAUACAUCGUUGCUGAAAGAGAUCAGGAACAGUGCGCAUAGGCCGCGGGCGUUCGUACCCCUCUGCUGCCAGCUGGCAAUCCGCGCUGGGGGCGGCAGAGCAGCCCCCCACCGAUCGGGGCUGCUGGGGCCGGCGAGUGCCGCUCUGGAUAUAAAGGGGGACAGGGGGCAUGUCUUCAACGCCGCGGUCAGGGUCAGGGUCUGCCCUCCCAUGACUCAGCUGUGUGAGAGAAUCAUCUCCACGCUGCCUUCCUGGAGGAAGCUCAAUGGGCCCAACCAGCUGAUGUCGCUGCAGCAGUUCGUGUACGACGUGCAGGACCAGCUGAACCCCCUGGCCAGCGAGGAGGACCUCAGGCGCGUGGCUCAGCAGCUGCACAGCACAGGCGAGAUCAACAUCAUGCAGAGCGAAACGGUGCAGGACGUGCUGCUCCUGGACCCCCGCUGGCUGUGCACCUGCGUCCUGGGGAAGCUGCUGUCCGUGGAGACGCCGCGGGCCCUGCACCACUACCGGGGCCGCUACACCGUGGAGGACAUCCAGCGCCUGGUGCCCGACAGCGACGUGGAGGAGCUGCUGCAGAUCCUCGACGCCAUGGACAUCUGCGCCCGCGACCUGAGCAGCGGGACCAUGGUGGACGUGCCCGCCCUGAUCAAGACGGACAACCUGCACCGCUCCUGGGCGGACGAGGAGGACGAGGCGAUGGUGUACGGCGGCGUGCGCGUGGUCCCGGUGGAGCCUCACGCCUUCCCGUGCGGAAUCUUUCACAAGGUGCAGGUGAACCUGUGCCGCUGGGUGCACCAGCAGGGCACGGAGGCGACGCGGACAUCCGCCUGUGGGUGAACGGCUCAAGAUUGCCACCGCGGCGCGAGCUGCUGGUGCUGCUGGUGAACCACGGCAGGGCGUGGAGGUGCAGGUGCGCGGUCUGGAGACGGACAAGGUCAAGUGCUGCCUCCUGCUGGACUCGGUGUGCAGCACCAUCGAGAACGUCAUGGCCAGCACGCUGCCGGGCUCCUGACCGUCAAGCCUACCUGAGCCCCAGCGCUGCGGGAGCACCACGAGCCGUCAUGAUCUACCAGCCCGCGGACUUUUUCGGGCGCAGGCGCUGAAGGAGACCUCCCUGACGAACCCAUGGGCGGCUACAAGGAGAGCUUCAGCAGCAUCAUGUGCUUCGGCUGUCACGACGUCUACCAGCGCAGCAUCGGCAUGGACAUCCCGCGUCAGACCUGAACCUCCUCACCCGGAGGAAGCUCAGCCGCCUGCUGGACCCGCCCGCCCAUGGGAAGGACUGUGUGCUUCUCAGCCAUGAACUUGGGCUCCCCGACCUGGUGGCAAAGUACAACACCACAACGGGCCCCCCCAAGGACUUCUCCCCAGCCGGUCCACGCCCUGCUGCGGGAAUGGACUCCUACCCCGGAGCACGGUGGGAUCCUCAUGUCCAAACUGAGGGAGCUGGGGUCGCCGGGAUGCAGCAAGACUUCCUGCUGAAGGCAUCCUCCGUGUCUCAACUCGAUGGCAAUCGGCCGGCAGGCCUAUGCGUCAAGCUGCCAGCUGGCGACUCCUAAAUCCAUCAUUUACUCGGUCGUGUCGCCGUGCAGCGCAGCUUCUGGCUUGGGCAGGGCUCUCUUUGGACUGCAGAAGCAAGGGGGUGUGACCAUCUUCCGCAUGGUCUUCCCAGCUUCACGAGCCACCAGCCUCCUUUAA